RNAcentral lists this ribosomal RNA (254 nucleotides) under uncultured bacterium. RNAcentral describes it as "partial 16S ribosomal RNA". It matches the Rfam family "Bacterial small subunit ribosomal RNA", at positions 524 to 776 of the family's 1533-position model. The record is from RNAcentral.
UACGUAGGGGGCGAGCGUUGUCCGGAGUUACUGGGCGUAAAGCGCGCGUAGGCGGCUGUCUAAGUCGGAUGUGAAAUCCCCGGGCUUAACCUGGGAACUGCAUUCGAUACUGGGCGGCUAGAGUAUGAGAGAGGGAGGUAGAAUUCCACGUGUAGCGGUGAAAUGCGUAGAUAUGUGGAGGAAUACCGGUGGCGAAGGCGGCCUCCUGGCUUAAUACUGACGCUGAGGUGCGAAAGCGUUGGGGAGCAAACAGG